AUACGGAGGGUGCAAGCGUUAUUCGGAAUCACUGGGCGUAAAGGACGCGUAGGCGGGUUGGCAAGUCAGAUGUGAAAUCCUACAGCUUAACUGUAGAACUGCAUUUGAAACUGCUAACCUAGAGUAUGGGAGGGGGAGAUGGAAUUAGUGGUGUAGGGGUAAAAUCCGUAGAUAUCACUAGGAAUACCGAAAGCGAAGGCGAUCCCCUGGAACAUAACUGACGCUAAGGCGUGAAAGCGUGGGGAGCAAACAGGAUUAGAAACCCUAGUAGUCC
Molecule: ribosomal RNA, 274 nt
Filed under: uncultured bacterium
Lineage: Bacteria
Description: partial 16S ribosomal RNA
Rfam family: Bacterial small subunit ribosomal RNA
Source: RNAcentral